CAGCUCUCCGAGUGGUAGGGAUGAUUAUUGGGCUUAAAGCGUCCGUAGCCGGCUUAGCAAGUUUCCUGUUAAACCCAGCGACUCAAUCGUUGGAUCGCGGGAAAUACUACUAGGCUAGGAGGCGGGAGAGGUCGACGGUACUUCCGGGGUAGGGGUGAAAUCCUAUAAUCCCGGGAGGACCACCAGUGGCGAAGGCUGUCGACUAGAACGCGCUCGACGGUGAGGGACGAAAGCUGGGGGAGCGAACCGGAUUAGAUACCCGAGUAGUCC
This 270-nucleotide ribosomal RNA is filed under the name uncultured archaeon. RNAcentral's name for it is "partial 16S ribosomal RNA". It matches the Rfam family "Archaeal small subunit ribosomal RNA", at positions 477 to 747 of the family's 1478-position model. The record is from RNAcentral.